Rosa chinensis is the source of this 1030-nucleotide long non-coding RNA. RefSeq lists it as uncharacterized. The transcript is spliced from 2 exons. NCBI's taxonomy places the organism in Eukaryota, Viridiplantae, Streptophyta, Magnoliopsida, Rosales, Rosaceae. The record is from RefSeq and is a predicted model, not a curated record.
UUUAUGAACAGGCUUCUGGUCAAAGAGUGAACUUCCAAAAAAGUAGUAUUGUCUUUAGUAGGAAUGUUAAUCUUGCUCUUCAAACCAACAUGGCAUCCAUCCUCGAAGUGGCAAGAAAGGAAGAGCAUGACAAUUACCUCGGCUUACCAUUGAGAGUGGGAAAAUCCAAGACAGCAAAAUUUGCUUACAUCAAGGAGAAGCUGUCUAAGGCUAUGUUGGGGGGGGCUUUUUUGCUCCCCUGCUUAUAAGCACCAGAGCAACAAGUGUUUGGUGAGUGAGCUUAUGGUCAGCUUUUGGAAAAAGCUGCCCCAGCUUUCCCCAGCUUUUAGAAGCUGACUCCCCCCAGCUUUUAGAAGCCAGAAGCCCGCUGAGUACUGUAGCGGUGAUUACUGUUCAUUAAUGAAUUUUUUUAAAUCCCGGUUUCUACCCUCCGUUGGCUGAAGCAAUUACAAUGAACUGCCAUCAAACCCUCGAUAUCGAUAUCAGUCUCUCGCUCUCCCAUCCCAUCUCCCUCUGCUCGAUCACAGAACGCAUCCCAUCCCAUCAAGCAAGCCUCGAUCUCCCUCUGCUCGAUCUCCCUCUCACAGAACCCAUCCAGUCGCCGCCACAUCUCGCGCAUCCCAUUCGAUCUCCCUCUAAUCACAGAACCCAUCCAGUCGCCGCCGCAUCUCGAUCUCCCUCUAAUCACAGAACCCAUCAGUCGCCGCAUCUCGAUCUUGGCCUCACUUGCAUCUCAUCAGGAUUUCGGAAGUGAAAUUGAAGCCUCAAUCAAGCAAGUUUCCCAGCACAGGAAGCUAGCUAGCAGGUAGCAGAAAAAGAGAUCAGAUCAGAAAAGUGGUGCAGGUCUCAUAUUAUAGCUAGUCUGGAUCAUGUGAUUCUAGAGUUUAAAUGAUAUAUGUGAUUCUAGAGUUUAAAUGAUAUCAACUAAAUUUUGUGGUGGGCAUAGAGCCAGUUUGUAGUACACUUUUAUUCAAGUAACUCGAUGGAUUAUCAUCAAAUCUAUAUUUUAACAGUUUGAUAUUUGCUAGCA